This 526-nucleotide ribosomal RNA is filed under the name uncultured Bacteroidota bacterium. RNAcentral's name for it is "bacterial SSU rRNA". It matches the Rfam family "Bacterial small subunit ribosomal RNA", at positions 28 to 548 of the family's 1533-position model. The record is from RNAcentral. Lineage: Bacteria; Pseudomonadati; Bacteroidota.
GAUGAACGCUAGCGGCAGGCUUAAUACAUGCAAGUCGAGGGGCAGCGCAGUGUAGCAAUACAUGGGCGGCGACCGGCAAACGGGUGCGGAACACGUACGCAACCUACCCAAAACUGAUGAAUAGCCCUCCGAAAGGAGGAUUAAUACAUCGUAACAUAAUGAAGUGGCAUCACUUUAUUAUUAUAGCUCCGGCGGUUUUGGAUGGGCGUGCGCCUGAUUAGAUAGUUGGCGGGGUAACGGCCCACCAAGUCUGCGAUCAGUAACUGGUGUGAGAGCACGACCAGUCACACGGGCACUGAGACACGGGCCCGACUCCUACGGGAGGCAGCAGUAAGGAAUAUUGGUCAAUGGACGCAAGUCUGAACCAGCCACGCCGCGUGAAGGAUGAAGGUCCUCUGGAUUGUAAACUUCUUUUAUAUGGGACGAAACCUCUUUUUCUAAAGAGACUGACGGUACCAUAAGAAUAAGCACCGGCUAACUCCGUGCCAGCAGCCGCGGUAAUACGGAGGGUGCAAGCGUUAUCCGG